GGCAGCAGUGGGGGAUAUUCGACAAUGGGGGCAACCCUGAUCCAGCGACGCCGCGUGAGGGAAGAAGGUUUUCGGAUUGUAAACCUCUGUUGACGGAGAAAAAAAUGAUGGUAUCCGUUUAGAAAGCCACGGCUAACUACGUGCCAGCAGCCGCGGUAAUACGUAGGUGGCAAGCGUUGUCCGGAAUUACUGGGUGUAAAGGGAGUGUAGGCGGGAUAUCAAGUCAGAAGUGAAAAUUACGGGCUCAACUCGUAACCUGCUUUUGAAACUGACAUUCUUGAGUGAAGUAGAGGCAAGCGGAAUUCCUAGUGUAGCGGUGAAAUGCGUAGAUAUUAGGAGGAACACCAGUGGCGAAGGCGGCUUGCUGGGCUUUUACUGACGCUGAGGCUCGAAAGCGUGGGGAGCAAACAGGAUUAGAUACCCUGGUAGUCCACGCCGUAAACGAUAAUGGCUAGGUGUGGGGGGAUUGACCCCUUCCGUGCC
This 483-nucleotide ribosomal RNA is filed under the name uncultured bacterium. Its description in RNAcentral is "bacterial SSU rRNA". It matches the Rfam family "Bacterial small subunit ribosomal RNA", at positions 347 to 847 of the family's 1533-position model. The record is from RNAcentral.